CAUGCAAGUCGAACGAGAGAGAAGGAGCUUGCUUCUUCGAUCGAGUGGCGAACGGGUGAGUAACGCGUGAGGAACCUGCCUCAAAGAGGGGGACAACAGUUGGAAACGACUGCUAAUACCGCAUAAGCCCACGGGUCGGCAUCGACCUGAGGGAAAAGGAGCAAUCCGCUUUGAGAUGGCCUCGCGUCCGAUUAGCUAGUUGGUGAGGUAACGGCCCACCAAGGCGACGAUCGGUAGCCGGACUGAGAGGUUGAACGGCCACAUUGGGACUGAGACACGGCCCAGACUCCUACGGGAGGCAGCAGUGGGGAAUAUUGCACAAUGGGGGAAACCCUGAUGCAGCGACGCCGCGUGGAGGAAGAAGGUCUUCGGAUUGUAAACUCCUGUUGUUGAGGAAGAUAAUGACGGUACUCAACAAGGAAGUGACGGCUAACUACGUGCCAGCAGCCGCGGUAAAACGUAGGUCACAAGCGUUGUCCGGAAUUACUGGGUGUAAAGGGAGCGCAGGCGGGAAGACAAGUUGGAAGUGAAAUCUAUGGGCUUAACCCAUAAACUGCUUUCAAAACUGUUUUUCUUGAGUAGUGCAGAGGUAGGCGGAAUUCCCGGUGUAGCGGUGGAAUGCGUAGAUAUCGGGAGGGACACCAGUGGCGAAGGCGGCCUACUGGGCACCAACUGACGCUGAGGCUCGAAAGUGUGGGUAGCAAACAGGAUUAGAUACCCUGGUAGUCCACACCGUAAACGAUGAUUACUAGGUGUUGGAGGAUUGACCCCUUCAGUGCCGCAGUUAACACAAUAAGUAAUCCACCUGGGGAGUACGACCGCAAGG
RNAcentral lists this ribosomal RNA (826 nucleotides) under uncultured bacterium. Its description in RNAcentral is "bacterial SSU rRNA". It matches the Rfam family "Bacterial small subunit ribosomal RNA", at positions 54 to 893 of the family's 1533-position model. The record is from RNAcentral.